CCUGCGGAGGGAUCAUUACAAGAACGCCCGGGCUUCGGCCUGGUUAUUCAUAACCCUUUGUUGUCCGACUCUGUUGCCUCCGGGGCGACCCUGCCUUCGGGCGGGGGCUCCGGGUGGACACUUCAAACUCUUGCGUAACUUUGCAGUCUGAGUAAACUUAAUUAAUAAAUUAAAACUUUUAACAACGGAUCUCUUGGUUCUGGCAUCGAUGAAGAACGCAGCGAAAUGCGAUAAGUAAUGUGAAUUGCAGAAUUCAGUGAAUCAUCGAAUCUUUGAACGCACAUUGCGCCCCCUGGUAUUCCGGGGGGCAUGCCUGUUCGAGCGUCAUUUCACCACUCAAGCCUCGCUUGGUAUUGGGCAACGCGGUCCGCCGCGUGCCUCAAAUCGUCCGGCUGGGUCUUCUGUCCCCUAAGCGUUGUGGAAACUAUUCGCUAAAGGGUGUUCGGGAGGCUACGCCGUAAAACAACCCCAUUUCUAAGGUUGACCUCGGAUCAGGUAGGGAUACCCGCUGAACUUAAGCAUAUCAAUAAGCGGAGGAAAAGAAACCAACAGGGAUUGCUCUAGUAACGGCGAGUGAAGCAGCAAUAGCUCAAAUUUGAAAUCUGGCGUCUUCGACGUCCGAGUUGUAAUUUGUAGAGGAUGCUUCUGAGUGGCCACCGACCUAAGUUCCUUGGAACAGGACGUCAUAGAGGGUGAGAAUCCCGUAUGCGGUCGGAAAGGCGCUCUAUACGUAGCUCCUUCGACGAGUCGAGUUGUUUGGGAAUGCAGCUCUAAAUGGGAGGUAAAUUUCUUCUAAAGCUAAAUAUUGGCCAGAGACCGAUAGCGCACAAGUAGAGUGAUCGAAAGAUGAAAAGCACUUUGGAAAGAGAGUUAAAAAGCACGUGAAAUUGUUAAAAGGGAAGGGAUUGCAACCAGACUUGCUCGCGGUGUUCCGCCGGUCUUCUGACCGGUCUACUCGCCGCGUUGCAGGCCAGCAUCGUCUGGUGCCGCUGGAUAAGACUUGAGGAAUGUAGCUCCCUCGGGAGUGUUAUAGCCUCUUGUGAUGCAGCGAGCGCCGGGCGAGGUCCGCGCUCGG
RNAcentral lists this ribosomal RNA (1075 nucleotides) under Cladosporium macrocarpum. Its description in RNAcentral is "eukaryotic LSU rRNA". The stretch from base 482 to 1075 matches the Rfam family "Eukaryotic large subunit ribosomal RNA", at positions 1 to 516 of the family's 3401-position model. Lineage: Eukaryota; Fungi; Ascomycota; Dothideomycetes; Cladosporiales; Cladosporiaceae. The record is from RNAcentral.